Molecule: ribosomal RNA, 494 nt
Filed under: uncultured bacterium
Lineage: Bacteria
Description: partial 16S ribosomal RNA
Rfam family: Bacterial small subunit ribosomal RNA
Source: RNAcentral
GACGAACGCUGGCGGCGCGCUUAACACAUGCAAGUCGAACGGAAAGGCCUGCUUUCCCUUGUGGAUUGCGGGUACUCGAGUGGCGAACGGGUGAGUAACACGUGAGUGAUCUGCCCCCAACUUGGGUAUAAGCCUGGGAAACUGGGUCUAAUUCCCGAUAGGACUGCAGGGUGGUGCCUGUGGUGGAAAACGAUUUUCUAGUGGUUGGGGAUGAGCUCGCGGCCUAUCAGCUUGUUGGUGGGGUAAUGGCCUACCAAGGCGGCGACGGGUAGCCGGCCUGAGAGGGUGGACGGCGACAUUGGGACUGAGAUACGGCCCAGACUCCUACGGGAGGCAGCAGUGGGGAAUAUUGCACGAUGGGCGGAAGCCUGAUGCAGCGACGCCGCGUGGGGGAUGACGGCCUUCGGGUGGUAAACUCCUUUCGACCGCGAGGAAGCCACCUGGUUGGAAGGGUGGUGACGGUAGUGGUAGAAGAAGCACCGGCUAACUACGUG